CGGCAAUAUAAAGGGUGGCGCCAUCAGCAACGGUCCUUUUGGAGCCGGGCAGUAAGGGUGGAUGUGAAAUUUAAUUUGUAUGUGCAGCACUGAUGCUAGCAGUUCGGUAUGGUGAUUUUAAAAAAGUAAAUCUACAGAUGCUGGAAAGACAAGCAGCGCACCCAAAAUGCUGGAGGAACUCAGGCCAGGCAGCAUGUAUGGCGAAAAGAACAGUUAACCUUUCUGGUUGAAACCCUUUGGCAGGACCUUUUGCUGGGCUGAAGAACUAUGAGGAGCAGUCGCAAAUACAGGCUAUGUGCUACAAUAAGCAUUUCCAGAAUUUCCAAAGUCAAUCCAACUUCGGUCACAUGAACUGGAAGAAGCAAUAGCAAUGUCUUGGACAUUAAGGUCUUGUGGUGCCAUGAACAUCUGCAGAAUAUGGGUUAGAUGAUCAAUGCAGAAAAGCUGCAAGUUGAGGUGGAAGCAUCUCAAACAGAUUUUACAGAUGGAGAAAUUCCAGAGCAACACGCACACAUUGUUAAGAGUAACGCAGCAGGUCCCAAUAUUUUGGAGGGACUCCAAAGAUUUUCAAGUGAAUGGUGAUACAGUAGCAAUGACAACAAAGGCGAAUGAUAGUAAAGUGGCUUUGAAUGAUGACUCAUUCCUGAAGCUCAUCCUGCAUACUCUAGUGUAUCUCACUGAGUUGGGCUGCUGAUCAUGAAAAUUGCAUCAUUGUUCAUUCUGUAUGGGCAUAGCAUAUUGUGUGUACCUAUCAGAAUAAAGUCGUUGUAUUUUCAGGAAUGUUUGUGACAGCCAACUGU
This is a long non-coding RNA of Mobula hypostoma (lesser devil ray), 800 nucleotides long. RefSeq lists it as uncharacterized. NCBI's taxonomy places the organism in Eukaryota, Metazoa, Chordata, Chondrichthyes, Myliobatiformes, Myliobatidae. The record is from RefSeq and is a predicted model, not a curated record. The transcript has 9 exons.